Molecule: long non-coding RNA, 499 nt
Filed under: Nicotiana tabacum (common tobacco)
Lineage: Eukaryota; Viridiplantae; Streptophyta; Magnoliopsida; Solanales; Solanaceae
Description: long non-coding RNA (NTAB_LNC003719)
Source: RNAcentral
AAACCCUAAACUGAACUUUUCCAUUUAGGUAGCAUUAGGGUUUUAAACCCUAAACUGAACUCUUUCCUUUAGUCAGCAUUAGGGUUUUAAACCCUAAACUGAACUUUUUCCUUCAGUCAGCAUUAGGGUUUUAAACCCUAAACUGAACUUUUUCCUUCAGUCAGCAUUAGGGUUUUAAACCUUAAACUGAACUCUUUCAUUUUAGUCAGCAUUAGGGUUUUAAACCUUAAAUUGAACUCUUUCAUUUUAGUCAGCAUUAGGGUUUUAAACCCUAAACUGAACCUUUUUCAUUUAAUCAGCAUUAGGGUUUUAAACCCUAAACUGAACCUUUUUCAUUUAAUCAGCAUUAGGGUUUUAAACCCUAAACUGAACUUUUCCCUAGUUGGUCAGUAUUAGAGUUUCAACUCUAAACUAAACUUCUCCCCAACUAGUCGGUAUUAGGGCUCCAACCCUGAACUGAGCAUUCAUAUCCUCUUUCAUCAAUUUUAUGAACUUCCUG